CGGAAACUUACUUUAAAAACAAUUACGGUUACGUGAUGUUUUGAAUAACAGUAGUUGCUUUGGAAAAUCGUGUUCUAAUACUAGCAAUUAUAAGAACAAUAAAUAAAAUUCCAAAUUUGAAAUCCAGAAAAUUACAACGGCUUUACUACAACCCACAUAAAAUGAUUUAAAGGUAAUAAUCAAAAUUGUAACAUAAACAGUGUGUGUGUGGCUUCCUCCGAGCCCCUAGCAACCCCGAUCCAUCUAAGGCUGGAAAUUACCUGAAAGGUUAAUAAACGGGGUGAGUUUAUGAAAACUCAGUGUGAAAUCCCCUACUAUAAAAAGGAACAGUCAGUCAUCUAAAGGAAUUAAAAGUCUGGCCCCAGCCUUACUUAAAUUUCAGUACCAAUCGGGUCUUAGCCCAUUACAACAGACAGUACCAGAUGGACCUUAGCCCAUUACAGAAUAAGAAACAUUAUCAGAAUUGGAACCAAAAUGAGAAUCAGAAUCAGAAUCAGAAUCAAUAUUAGUAACAGAAUCAGAAUCAGAAUCAGAAUCAGAAUUAGGUGACAGAAUCAGAAUCAGUAACAGAAUCAGAAUCAGAAUCAGUAUUAGUAACAGAAUUAGAAUUACGUGACAGAAUCAGAAUCAGAAUGUGAAUGCAAUCCCAACCCAAUCCAGCCGUAUACACCCCCGUACCAACCUUACACCAUGUGGGGAGACAACUCGACCCACCCAUUUGCUACACACCACAGAAUUUGCAGCAUGGCUGCCAGAACAGAUAUCGUGACAGAGUCACCAGAUACAUAUAUUAUGGCAGAGCCACCAGAAUUAGAUAAUGUGGCAAACCCACCUAACAGAAUACGUGGCACAAAGCCAUAGAUAACUGUAAUAACUUGGGCACAUAGCCAUCAGUGACGGUAAUAUAACUGGCGCACAGCCUUCGGUAAAUAUGAUCGACACAGAGUCGUCAACAAAUAUGUUAGGCACAUAGCUACAGGUAAAUACGUUUGGCACGAAGCCAUAUUCAAGAUGGCACAAAGCCAUAUUUAGGUUGGCACAGAGCCAUUAAUAACGGGUCUAUAAUCGGCACGAAGCCCACAACAACGGCACACAGCCUUCGGUAGCGUGAUCGGCACUUAGCCAUCGAUCGGUCAACAGAUAUUGUGACAGAGUCACCAAAUACAGAUAUUGUGGCAGAGCCACCAGAACAGAUAUUUGUGGCAUAGCCACCAGAACGCUUCCUCCGUACAAAAUCCCAACCCAUGCAACAUGUCAUGUAUGCAGAAUGUCAUGCCCAUAUUUGAAUCAAACAAUCACAGUCAAGUCAUUCAUAUCACCAACAUAUAUUCACAAUCAAAUCCGUCAAACACACAGUCUAAGUCAGUCACUUGCCCACAAGGGCAAAACAAUCAUUUAACACCCUAGGGGCAAAAUGGUAAUUUUACCCCACAAGGGUAUCUCGGUAAUUCUACCCUACAGGGGUAUUUCGGUAUUUCUACCCUACAAGGGUAUUUCGAUAAUUCUAACCAACAGGGGUAUUUUGGUAAUUCUAUCCUAUAAGGGUAUUUCAGUAAUUCUACCCUACAGGGGUAUUUCCGUAAUUUCACAAUCAAGGGUAAAAUGGUAAUUCUGUAAAUCGAGGGUAAAAGGAUAAUUUUGUAAACUGAGGGUAACCUAGUAAUUCUGUAAAUCAAGGGUAAAACGGUAAUUUUACAAAUCGAGGGUAAAACGGUAAUUCUAUAAAUCGAGGGUAAAAUAAUAAUUCUGUAAACUGAGGGUAAAACGGUAAUUUUAUAAAUCGAGGAUAAAAUUGUAAUUUUACAAAUCGAGGGUAAAAUGGUAAUUCUAUAAAUCGAGGGUAAAAUAGUAAUUCUGUAAACUGAGGGUAAAACGGUAAUUCUGUAAAUCGAAGGUAAAACGGUAAUUUUGUAAACUGAGGGUAAAAUAGUAAUUCUAUAAAUCGAGGGUAAAACGGUAAUUCUGUAAACUGAGGGUAAAAUGGUAAUUCUGUAAAUCAAGGGUAAAACGGUAAUUUUAAAAAUCAAGGGUAAAACGAUAAUUCUGUAAAUCGAGGGUAAAACGGUAAUUUUAAAAAUCGAGGGUAAAAUGGUAAUUUUGUAAAUCGAGGGUAAAACGGUAAUUCUGUAAAUCGGGAGUACUUUGGUAAUUUUACAAGUCGAGGGCAUUUUAGUAAUUGGUAAACUAAAGUAUUCUAAACAUGGAUAACAAUACAAAUGGGCCUAAAGCCUAUUCUGGGCCCAAAUGGGCCCACACGCUCGUGUGGCCCUUUUAGCCCAAACCUAGCCACAGAUAUGAGAUUCACCUAGCCUAGUCCAAUAUUUACUACACAAUCAAACAACUUAUCCAAUUGGGCCCGUAGGCCCAUUGGGCCCACAUGGCCCCUUUCGGCCUAUCGCGGCCCGAAGUAGCCAUCCAACAACAAGAGUGGUGAUAAAUACACACCUGAUUGGAGACUGGAGUUAAUCCACGCUCCGAGCACUCUUAGCCGACGCCCAACCCAAACGAGCACGCCAUAAAGCGAAAGGGAUCA
Molecule: long non-coding RNA, 2533 nt
Filed under: Gossypium barbadense (sea-island cotton)
Lineage: Eukaryota; Viridiplantae; Streptophyta; Magnoliopsida; Malvales; Malvaceae
Description: long non-coding RNA (GBAR_LNC004333)
Source: RNAcentral